CACAAGCACCACUGCUUAACCAACAGGGAGUCCACAGCACCACCUUCCUGAAACGGGGAAAACUGGAUCCCUGGUGGAAUUCACGAACAGAGCCAAACAAAGAGUCUUCUUAUGAUAGCCCACAGGACAGAGCAGCAUGCCCAGCACACACACAGGAAGCAGAGCUGUCCCUGUGUUUAUACCAAUCUAGCGCCUGUGCUGCGCAAAACAGAAGCACCAUCUUGCUGCCGUUGGCCGCUGUCCGGUAUCCUCGGUGCCUAGGACAGCAGUGUGACUUUUAAAUGGCACCAGGCAAAUGUUUGCAGAUGAAAGCUUUGGAGUCAUUGUGCAUUCCCAAUUGUCAAACUUUUCUCCAUUUGGGAAAAGACUGUACCUAACUAUGGAGUGGGCAGGCAUUUCUCUCAGAGCUCAUAGAUGGGUUGACCCAUCUACGCCUUCAU
This is a long non-coding RNA of Peromyscus eremicus (cactus mouse), 440 nucleotides long. RefSeq lists it as uncharacterized. The transcript is spliced from 3 exons. NCBI's taxonomy places the organism in Eukaryota, Metazoa, Chordata, Mammalia, Rodentia, Cricetidae. The record is from RefSeq and is a predicted model, not a curated record.